This 465-nucleotide ribosomal RNA is filed under the name uncultured bacterium. Its description in RNAcentral is "partial 16S ribosomal RNA". It matches the Rfam family "Bacterial small subunit ribosomal RNA", at positions 29 to 507 of the family's 1533-position model. The record is from RNAcentral.
AAUGAACGUUGGCGGCGUGGAUUAGGCAUGCAAGUCGAGCGAGAACCCCGCAAGGGGGGACAGCGGCGAAAGGGACAGUAAUGUGUAGAUUAUCUGCCCUCAGGUCCGGGAUAGCUGCGGGAAACUGCAGGUAAUACCGGAUAACAUCUCCGGAUCAAAGGUGUGAUUCCGCCUGAGGAUGAGUCUGCAUCCUAUUAGCUAGUUGGUGGGGUAAUGGCCUACCAAGGCAUUGAUGGGUAGCAGGUGUGAGAGCACGACCUGCGUCAUUGGGACUGAGACACUGCUCAGACACCUACGGGUGGCUGCAGUCGAGAAUCGUCGGCAAUGGGCGCAAGCCUGACCGAGCGACGCCGCGUGUGGGAUGAAGGCCGUCGGGUUGUAAACCACUGUCAGAGGGGAUGAAAUGCAGGUGGGUUCUCCCAUCUGUUUGACAUAGCCUCAGAGGAAGGACGGGCUAAGUUCGUG